Molecule: long non-coding RNA, 892 nt
Filed under: Neogale vison (American mink)
Lineage: Eukaryota; Metazoa; Chordata; Mammalia; Carnivora; Mustelidae
Description: Neovison vison (American mink) lncRNA (ENSNVIG00000008564.1)
Source: RNAcentral
GGCUGAGCACGGUGGAACCAGUCUUCUCAGCUGCCUCUCGGAGGCUAGCGGUUCCCCUUGGCCUCUGUGGAACCCCGCUUCCAUGUCCCCAGUGGACACAGCAUCCCGGAACCUCCAGGCCCAUGGCCACUAGCUUGAGGUCGCCCGCUUUCACCUCAUGUUCUUCCGCCUCGACAGACACACGAGGAGGGAGUGUGCGGCACUUGUGAAGAUGCUUCUCUGUGCAAGAGGAGCUGGCAUGUCACAGGAGGUGUGGAGGACACCCAGGACUGGGCCUUGCUCCUGGACAGCAGCCAGGGACAGCCAUGAGGAAGGACAGUCCUUGGAUUCAAAGGGGAUCCCACAGGGCCGACUGUGGCACAAGCUGCCCAAGAUGGUCUGUGACACCAAUUUGUAAACAUAGAAGCUUUUACCCACAUAUGAUGGAGAUGAUGGGAGCAUGGAUAUUUUGCUCAAGUCCAUGGCAUCUCUCAGCUGAUAAAAGCAUUUCUACAGAAGAAAGAAUGUUAUUGUCAAAUUCUAAAUCUUGGGACUCAAUGGAGACCACCUUCUGGAGAUUAAAGGCACAUUUUCUGGUCCUGCACCUUAGAGUUUCUGAUUUUGCCAUCAUAGUGUCCGAAGCUCAUGACCAAGAAAGAAUUUUUCAGCUGUCUCUGGUGCUGCAAAAAGGUGAUUUUAUUAAAAACCAGGGACAGGACCUAUAGGCAAAAAGAGCUGCCAUGGGGUCGUGAGGAGUGGCCUAUUCUAUACUUUCAAGUUUGAGGGGGUUGGAGAUAGUGUAAGUCUCCAAGGAAUUCUGGAAGGAAGGUUUCCAGGACCAUGAGAGGCUAGCUAUUGUUGGCAAAGGGUCAUUGAUUAUGGUCUAAUAAAGCCUUAGUCAUGAGACCCUUCA